GUUAAUAAAAAAUAGUAAUUAUUUGAGUAGUUUAAAAAAAACAUUACACUUUCAUCGUAAAAUUAAUUUUUUCUCA
RNAcentral lists this transfer RNA (76 nucleotides) under Platerodrilus sp. UPOL 000586. Its description in RNAcentral is "tRNA-Glu". Lineage: Eukaryota; Metazoa; Arthropoda; Insecta; Coleoptera; Lycidae. The record is from RNAcentral.